Molecule: ribosomal RNA, 152 nt
Filed under: Cepaea nemoralis (banded wood snail)
Lineage: Eukaryota; Metazoa; Mollusca; Gastropoda; Stylommatophora; Helicidae
Description: partial 16S ribosomal RNA
Source: RNAcentral
GACGAGAAGACCCUAGAAGCUUGUUAUUUGUUUUGUUGGGGCGACAGAAUUGCAUUAAACCAAUUUUAUAGAUGUGACGUAUAGCAGGAAAAAUAAGCUACUCUAGGGAUAACAGCAUAAUAAAAUUUGUUUGUGACCUCGAUGUUGGACUA